This 258-nucleotide ribosomal RNA is filed under the name uncultured bacterium. Its description in RNAcentral is "partial 16S ribosomal RNA". It matches the Rfam family "Bacterial small subunit ribosomal RNA", at positions 96 to 354 of the family's 1533-position model. The record is from RNAcentral.
UGGCGGACGGGUGAGUAACGCGUGGGUAACCUGCCCUGUACAGGGGGACAACAGUUAGAAAUGACUGCUAAUACCGCAUAAGCGCACAGGACCGCAUGGUCCGGUGUGAAAAACUCCGGUGGUACAGGAUGGACCCGCGUCUGAUUAGGUAGUUGGCGGGGUAACGGCCCACCAAGCCGACGAUCGGUAGCCGGCCUGAGAGGGCGGACGGCCACAUUGGGACUGAGACACGGCCCAAACUCCUACGGGAGGCAGCAG